RNAcentral lists this long non-coding RNA (209 nucleotides) under Sinocyclocheilus grahami. RNAcentral describes it as "lncRNA (ENSSGRG00000004835.1)". The record is from RNAcentral. Lineage: Eukaryota; Metazoa; Chordata; Actinopteri; Cypriniformes; Cyprinidae.
UUGUUUGAGAUAUAUUUGAGUGAAGUAUUGCUCAAUCUAACAGCUCGACACAUUUCAGGUGACAAAAGCCUGGAUGAAGCCACCAGCGGCCCAGAUUCAAUAGACACAACAGAUACUGACACAGACACUAAUACAGAAACAGAUGCAUCGCAGCAGAAGACAAGCGAUUCAGAUGAGAACAAUGAGAAACCAUCAGCGGAGGACAGCAC